Molecule: ribosomal RNA, 292 nt
Filed under: uncultured bacterium
Lineage: Bacteria
Description: partial 16S ribosomal RNA
Rfam family: Bacterial small subunit ribosomal RNA
Source: RNAcentral
GUGCCAGCCGCCGCGGUAAUACAGAGGGUGCGAGCGUUAAUCGGAGUUACUGGGCGUAAAGGGCGCGUAGGCAGUUGAUUAAGUGAGAUGUGAAAUCCCUGGGCUUAACCUAGGAAUUGCAACUCAUACUGGUUGGCUGGAGUAUAGUAGAGGGUAGUGGAAUUUCCGGUGUAGCGGUGAAAUGCGUAGAUAUCGGAAGGAACACCAGUGGCGAAGGCGACUACCUGGACUGAUACUGACGCUGAGGCGCGAGAGCGUGGGGAGCAAACAGGAUUAGAUACCCUGGUAGUCC